Spinacia oleracea (spinach) is the source of this 974-nucleotide long non-coding RNA. RefSeq lists it as uncharacterized. NCBI's taxonomy places the organism in Eukaryota, Viridiplantae, Streptophyta, Magnoliopsida, Caryophyllales, Amaranthaceae. The transcript has 3 exons. The record is from RefSeq and is a predicted model, not a curated record.
AUACAAAGCGGUGUUCUUGAAUGUGUACUAUAUUCCCAUUUGAAAAAAUAAAUAAAAAUAAACCGCCUCCACACUCAGCUGGAUUUCUCCUCCUCUUCAAUAAUUCUUCCACCGUAUCUCUCUCUUCAAAACUCCUCUUCUAGGUCCUUGUUCGUUGGCUCCCCUCUCCUUGUCUCUUUGGCUGUUUAAUAUAUCAAAAAAGAAUUCAAGUUGGAGAGUGCACCAACUUUGAAAGGCUUAAUUUGGCUAUGGCACUAGUUGGAGCAACUCUCAUCACAACAUGCUGCAGACCAAUUUCAGAUCGUGUUGGUCGUCACCCUAUGAUGAUUAUCUCAUCGCUCUGUUACUUUGUUAGUUCUUUAUUAUGUUGUGGUCCACUAAUAUUUAUGUUCUACUCUUGCGUCGUCUAUUGGAUGGUUGCGGUAAUGGUUGGUAGUCACUCUUGUUCCUCUUUAUAUAUCAGAGACAACUCCAACUGAAAUAAGGGGUUCAUUGAACACACUUCCUCAGUUCACUUGUUCUGGUGGAAUGUUUGCCACGUACUGUAUGGUUUUUGGGAUGUCACUAAUGGAAUAACCUAGUUGGAGAUUAUGCUUGGGGUUCUUUUAGUUCCAUCCAAUAUUUAUUCUAUAUUAACUGUAUUCUUCUUACCAGAGUCUCCUUGUUGGCUUGUUAGUAAAGGAAGAAUGAACGAGGCUAAAAGGGUUCUUCGACAGUUGCAAGGCACGGAAGAUGUCUCUGUAUUUUAACAAAGCUCCUUCCUUGUAUUCUCAAAAAUUGAUCAGCUAAUGGAUGUGUGGAUCUCAUAUGUUACCGGAUAUCACCAGCCAAAGAUCAUUUUGUCAAUGAAUGAUACGAGUUUGUUAUUGAAUGAAAGGUUUGGGGAUGAUAUAUUUGUUAAUAUAUGAAAUAUUUUUCCUUUUGGUAGAUUGAGUGAAUAUGAUAUAUUGUAUGUAUUUAUUUUUGUUGUACGA